This 449-nucleotide ribosomal RNA is filed under the name uncultured organism. Its description in RNAcentral is "partial 16S ribosomal RNA". It matches the Rfam family "Bacterial small subunit ribosomal RNA", at positions 331 to 797 of the family's 1533-position model. The record is from RNAcentral.
GUACACUCCUGCGGGAGGCAGCAGUGGGGAAUAUUGGACAAUGGGCGAAAGCCUGAUCCAGCAAUGCCGCGUGAGUGAUGAAGGCCUUAGGGUUGUAAAGCUCUUUUACCCGGGAUGAUAAUGACAGUACCGGGAGAAUAAGCCCCGGCUAACUCCGUGCCAGCAGCCGCGGAAAUACGGAGGGGGCUAGCGUUGUUCGGAAUUACUGGGCGUAAAGCGCGCGUAGGCGGCUUUGUAAGUUAGAGGUGAAAGCCCGGAGCUCAACUUCGGAAUUGCCUUUAAGACUGCAUCGCUAGAAUCGUGGAGAGGUGAGUGGAAUUCCGAGUGUAGAGGUGAAAUUCGUAGAUAUUCGGAAGAACACCAGUGGCGAAGGCGACUCACUGGACACGUAUUGACGCUGAGGUGCGAAAGCGUGGGGAGCAAACAGGAUUAGAUACCCGAGUAGUCCC